UUUUAUACGACCGCAAAAAUUAAAAAUUUUUUGGUCGUAUAUUGGUAUGACGUUGGCGUCGUCGUCGUCGUCGUCGUCGUCGUCGUCGUCGUCGUCGUCGUCGUCGUCGUCGUCGUCUGGCGUCGUCCGGCGUCGUCCGAAGACACAUUGGUUUUCGCACUCUAACUUUAGUUUAAGUGAAUGGAUCUCCAUGAAAUUUUACCAUAAGGUUCAAUACCACAAAAGGAAGGUUGGGAUUGAUUUUGGGGGUUAUGGUACCAACGGUUAAGGAAUUAGGGGCCAAAAGGGGCCAAAAAUAAGCAUUUUUGUAACUUUCAGACAAUAACUUGUGUGUAAGUGUAUGGAUCUCUCUGACAUUGUACCACAAGGUUACAUAUCACAAAGGGAAAGCUGGGUUUGAGUUUGGGGGUAAUUGCCUCCAAAUUUUAGGAAAAAGGGGCCAAAAAGGGGCAAAAAACAAGCAUUUUUCUAGUUUCAUGACAAUAACUUGUGUGUAAGUCUAUGGAUCUCUCUGAAAUUGUAUCACAAGGUUCCAUAUCACAAAGGGAAUGCUGGGGUUGAUUUUGGGGUUAAUUGCCUCCAAUUUUUAGGAAUAAGGGGCAAAAAAAGGGGCAAAAAACAAGCAUUUUUCUAGUUUCAUAACAAUAACUUGUGUGUAAGUGUAUGGAUCUUUAUGAAAUUGUAAUACAAGGUUCCAUAUCACAAAGGGAAAGCUGGGUUUGAGUUUGGGGGUAAUUGCCUUAAACGUUUAGGAAUUUAGGGCCAAAAAGGGGCCACAAAACAAGCAUUUUUCUAGUUUCCAGACAAUAACUUGUGUUCAAGUGUAUGGAUCUCUCUGAAAUUAUGCUGCAAGGUACCAUACUACAAAGGGAAGGCUGGGAUUGAUUUUGGGGGUAAUUCCCUCAAAAUUUCAGUAGUUAGGGGCCAUAAAAGGGCAAAAAACAAGCAUUAUUCUAGUUUCAGGACAAUAACUUGUGUGUAAGUGUAUGGAUCUUUAUGAAAUUGUACUGCAAGGUUCCAUAUCACAAAGGGAAAGCUGGGUUUGAGUUUGGGGGUAAUUGCCCAUAACGUUUAGGAAUUUGGGGCCAAAAAGGGGCCAAAAAAACAAGCAUUUUUCUAGUUUCCAGACAAUAACUUGUGUUCAAGUGUAUGGAUCUCUCUGAAAUUGUGCUGCAAGGUACCAUACCACAAAGGAAAGGCUGGGAUUGUGUUUGGGGGUGAUGAAUCAUAAGGGGGUUCAAAAAAUUUGAGGGGAAUUUUUUUUUCCUUUUUUUUCUUUAAAAUUUACCAUUUUAAAUUGGUUAUUUCUGAUUUAUAUAUAAAAGCAAAUAAUAAUGAUAUGGUUUGAAUAGGUAAAUUAAAAUUUUUUAAGUUCUUAGACCACUUUCAUUCUGUGUCAGAAACCUAUGCUGUGUCAAAUAUUUAAUUACAAUCCAAAUUCAGUGCUGUAUCAAGCUUGAAUGUUGUGUCCAUACUUGCCCCAACUGUUCAGGGUUCGACCUCUGCGGUCGUAUCAAGCUGCGCCCCAGCGGAGCAUUUUAUUUUAAAAAGAGUUAUGCCCCUGACAAACAUUAAUUAUAUUGAAAAUUGCAUCGUUAGCGCUCUCAUGUGUACAAUACUUGUCAGAAUUUUAUGAAAAUUAUAUCAUAGGUUAAUAUAUCAUCAAUGUCUCAGACGAAUUUGAAAAUUGGUGCCGAUCAAUUAUUUUUAAAAGAGUUAUGCCCCUUGGAGAUAUUGAUUAUAUGGAAAAUUGGAUUGUUAGCACUCUCAUAUGUACAAUUCUUGCUAGAUUUUUAUGAAAUUUAUAUUAUAGGUUUAUAUAUCAUCAAUGUCUCAGACAAAUUUGAAAAUUAGUGCCGAUCAAUUAUUUUAAAAAGAGUUAUGCCCCUUGGAAAUAUUGAUUAUAUGGAAAAAUGCAUUGCUAGCACUCUCAUGUAUACAAUUCUUGCUAAAUUUCAUCAAUGUCUUAGACAAAUUUGAAAAUUGGUGCCGAUCAAUUAUUUGUAAAAAAGUUAUGCCCCUUGGAGAUAUUGCUUAUAUGGAAAAUUGCAUUGUUAGCACUCUCAUAUGUACAAUUCUUGCUAGAUUUUUAUGAACUUUAUAUUAUAAACCGAUCAAUUAUUUUAGAAAGAGUUAUGCCCCUUGGAAAUAUUGAUUAUAUGGAAAAUUGCAUUGUUAGCACUCUCAUGUGUACAAUUCUUUCUAGAUUUUUAUGAAAUUUAUAUCAUAGGUUUAUAUCAGCAUUGUCUUCGACGACUUCGAAAAUUAGUGCCGAUCAAUAUUUUUAAAAGAGUUAUGCCCCUUGGAAAAAUUAAUAAUAACGGAAAUUGCAUUGCAUUUGCUCUGAAGCCUUCAUUUCUCUAAGAUAUUUAUAAUUUGUUUUAAAGAACAAAAACAAGUGUUUUUUUUUAGUUAUUUUAGUUAUUGCCCUUGGGUUGACAAAAUAUGUGCAACGCGGGGGACACUGGAACUCUGUUCUUUUAUUAGUCCCCUACCGACGAAGUCGAAGGGGACUUUAGGUUUGCACUCCGUCCGUCCGUCUGUCUGUCUGUCUGUCUGUCUGUCCGUCAGUCCGGCAAAUCAGUUUUCCACACUUUAUUCUUCAUGCUUGAAGAUAUUGAUAUGAUAUUUGGUGUAUUAUUUUAUCAUGACAAGUUACAGAUCAAGUUCGAAUUUUGUUCCGGUCUGAUGAUUUUGUGCAGAGUAAUGGUCCUUUUACUCAGAAAAUUCACUAAAAUAAUCAGUUUUCCGCACUUUUUUUUUGUCAUUCUUGAAAAUAUUAAUUUGAUAAUUGGGAUUGCUAUUGGGAUAUCGUGACAACACCGCCUGCACUGUGUCUAGCGCUCUAGA
Molecule: long non-coding RNA, 2850 nt
Organism: Mytilus californianus (California mussel)
Lineage: Eukaryota; Metazoa; Mollusca; Bivalvia; Mytilida; Mytilidae
Exons: 3
Source: RefSeq, a predicted model, not a curated record